AGGUCAGCUGCAGAAGAGGGGAGAGGGGGAACAACACAUGGUACGUUUUUUAAGUCUAGAGAGAAGGGUGAAGAAGAGCAGAGGUGCUUGAGUCCUCUCGCAGUUCCCCUAGCGACCAGGGCGACCAGGAUGGGAAGACACUAAGGCACAGAGCCGCUUUGUGCUCUGAUCCACCACUUUUGUGGAACUGGACUUGGACAAAGACUAUGCUGGUCAAGGAACCCAGCAUGGAGACCUGAGGGGAGGCUGGUGUGUGGUGUUGGUGGAAGAGUGGCGGAUGGGACUUAUAGGGAGAAUGAUGACUAAUACUUGAAUCUGCAAGUGUGGUGGCUUUAAUCCCAGCACUUGGGAAGCAAAGAGGGCAAAACUCUGUGAGUUCGAGGCCAGCUUGUAUAGCAAGUUCCAGGCCCCUUAGGACUACAUAGUAAGACCCUGUGUCAACAACAACACAAAGCAAAAACCUUGAAUCUGGGUUGGGUACGGGAGCCAGGUCAGCAAGACUACUUACUGAGAGAGACUGAUACCUGAGAGAGACUGAUACCAGAUAGGAACUAGAGUGAUUUAAAGGAAGGGCAAAGGGAGGAAUCCAAGGUAUCUAGUAAAACCAGCCCAUUUACCUUCCAGGCCAGGCCCAUUUCUAUAGGAGGUGUGGUCAGAGGAGAUACAGAAAUUGCCUAAGGGACCAGAAAGAGUCGCUGGCCUUGCAGCCUGUGAAGCAUGUUUUUGACCACGGGGUAAUCUUCAGGGAGAUCCUCCUCUGAGUUAGAUGGCUUGGGUGCUGGGACAUCGAAUCUGGAGAGACGAAGGAAGUUAUUGGCAUCCCUGUCUUUUUGAUGCUGCUUCUGAUGAUCCUAACCCACUCACUUGUCACAGAAACAGAAGAAAACAUAGGUGUGAGUUCACACUGUGGGACAUCUUCCCCUCCGCCUCAGGUGAGCUCUGACUGCUUGAUACCUUCCCACCUUUUAAAACCAUCUCCCCACCCCACCCCAAACACCCUGCCCGCUCUGCUCCAUUUUUCUCUUCAGUUCUCCCUUCUUCUUUCAUGUCCUUUACUUCUGCCUACUCCAAAAUCACUUUCUCCUCAGGUUCCUAGCUUCAUCCAGACUGUUAUAUGCCUUCUCCAUCCUUCCACAGCCUCAACACAACUACUUCUUACCUCUUGUUUAAUCUUCCCAGGCCCACGCUCUCUUUUAGUAUGCUCUCCUUCUUUAGUUACCAGCAUGUCUUCCAGAUAUAUGUCCACCCCGUCACCACAAAAGGGACACACACCCAUAUUCCUUGAGCUAAGAGUUGUUAUAUAAAAGCCUAACAAUAAAGCUGCUCUCCUUUUUGUCUUAAAA
Long non-coding RNA from Mus musculus (house mouse), 1343 nucleotides. RefSeq annotates it as predicted gene, 33595. The record is from RefSeq and is a predicted model, not a curated record. The transcript is spliced from 3 exons. Lineage: Eukaryota; Metazoa; Chordata; Mammalia; Rodentia; Muridae.